UACGUAGGUGGCAAGCGUUGUCCGGAUUUACUGGGCGUAAAGAGCGCGCAGGCGGUCGUUCAAGUCGCGUGUGAAAGCCCCCCGGCUCAACUGGGGAGGGUCACGCGAUACUGAUCGACUCGAAGGCAGGAGAGGGUAGUGGAAUUCCCCGGUGUAGUGGUGAAAUGCGUAGAUAUCGGGAGGAACACCAGUGGCGAAGGCGACUACCUGGCCUGUUCUUGACGCUGAGGCGCGAAAGCUAGGGGAGCAAACGGGG
This 256-nucleotide ribosomal RNA is filed under the name uncultured bacterium. Its description in RNAcentral is "partial 16S ribosomal RNA". It matches the Rfam family "Bacterial small subunit ribosomal RNA", at positions 524 to 777 of the family's 1533-position model. The record is from RNAcentral.